RNAcentral lists this ribosomal RNA (465 nucleotides) under uncultured bacterium. Its description in RNAcentral is "partial 16S ribosomal RNA". It matches the Rfam family "Bacterial small subunit ribosomal RNA", at positions 338 to 795 of the family's 1533-position model. The record is from RNAcentral.
CCUACGGGUGGCAGCAGUGGGGAAUAUUGCGCAAUGGGCGAAAGCCUGACGCAGCGACGCCGCGUGAGGGAUGAAGGUCUUCGGAUCGUAAACCUCUGUCAGCAGGGAAGAACGGUCACUGUGCUAAUCAGCAGUGAAUUGACGGUACCUGCAAAGGAAGCACCGGCUAACUCAGUGCCAGCAGCCGCGGUAAUACGGAGGGUGCGAGCGUUAACCGGUAUUACUGGGCGUAAAGCGCUCGUAGGCGGUAUGGUAAGUCAAGGGUGAAAUCCCCGCGCUCAACGUGGGAACUGCCUUGGAAACUGUCAAACUUGAGUGUGUGAGAGGAUAGUGGAAUUCCAGGUGUAGGAGUGAAAUCCGUAGAUAUCUGGAGGAACAUCAGUGGCGAAGGCGACUAUCUGGCACAUAACUGACGCUGAGGAGCGAAAGCGUGGGUAGCAAACAGGAUUAGAUACCCCAGUAGUC